UACGGGGGGGGUAAGCGUUGUUCGGAAUUACUGGGCGUAAAGGGCUCGUAGGCGGCCAACUAAGUCAUACGUGAAAUCCCUCAGCUUAACUGGGGAACUGCGUGUGAUACUGGAUGGCUUGGAUUUGGGAGAGGGAUGCGGAAUUCCAGGUGUAGCGGUGAAAUGCGUAGAUAUCAGGAAGAACACCCGUGGCGAAGGCGGCUCUCUGGUACGUGACUGACGCUGAGACGCGAAAGCGUGGGGAGCAAACAGG
Molecule: ribosomal RNA, 253 nt
Filed under: uncultured bacterium
Lineage: Bacteria
Description: partial 16S ribosomal RNA
Rfam family: Bacterial small subunit ribosomal RNA
Source: RNAcentral